GGGGUUUUAGCUCAGCUGGGAGAGCAUCCGGUUCGCAAUCGGAAGGUCGGGAGUUCGAUCCUCCUAAGCUCCACCA
This 76-nucleotide transfer RNA is filed under the name Solobacterium sp. RNAcentral describes it as "tRNA-Ala". It matches the Rfam family "tRNA". From Rfam's summary of the family: Transfer RNA (tRNA) molecules are approximately 80 nucleotides in length. Their secondary structure includes four short double-helical elements and three loops (D, anti-codon, and T loops). Lineage: Bacteria; Bacillati; Bacillota; Erysipelotrichia; Erysipelotrichales; Erysipelotrichaceae. RNAcentral also lists the same sequence under 1 other name. The record is from RNAcentral.